Molecule: long non-coding RNA, 425 nt
Filed under: Elaeis guineensis (African oil palm)
Lineage: Eukaryota; Viridiplantae; Streptophyta; Magnoliopsida; Arecales; Arecaceae
Description: long non-coding RNA (EGUI_LNC001310)
Source: RNAcentral
GAUAUGGAUGGUUUUGGGCUUCAACAAGAAACCUCAUGAGUGAUUUCAUGGCAUGGCCUCCUUCGAUAAGCCUGCGACAUGCAGAAAAAGAUCGAAGACUUCUAAGCGACAGACAGGCAUCUUAGAGCAGACGAUCGAAAGGGAAUCACAUUUUUGUGACCUUGUAUAGAUGUUGCCAUUCAUGAUAGACAUCUGGAUAUAUGCCAUGUGGGGCACCAAGUCCUCCAGGAGAUCAUCUAUGUGAAUUGAAUAAAUUCCUAGUUCUUCAGCAUGUUAAUGCCCAUGAUCAUGGCAAGUUUUGGUUUCUCAAAAUGAGAUGAAAUCCAGCAAUACAUUAUACAUCAUACAUAGGUCACAAUCAUUUCCACACAAUAGUGUGGAUGAGCUGCAUGAGAUGAGAUGACACUGUAUGUUACCAUUCGGAA